GGCUUCGGUCUACUAGUAAAGUGGCGGACGGGUGCGUAACACGUGGGUAAUCUACCUUCCGGCGGGGGACAACAGUCCGAAAGGAUUGCUAAUACCGCAUACGUCAGCGGCGCCUACGGGCGCUGUUGGGAAAGAUGGCCUCUCCUUGGAAGCUGUCACCGGAAGAUGAGCCCGCGUCCCAUCAGCUAGUUGGUGAGGUAACGGCUCACCAAGGCUUAGACGGGUAGCUGGUCUGAGAGGAUGAUCAGCCACACUGGGACUGCGACACGGCCCAGACUCCUACGGGAGGCAGCAGUGGGGAAUAUUGGGCAAUGGGCGGAAGCCUGACCCAGCCACGCCGCGUGAGUGAUGAAGGCCUUCGGGUCGUAAAGCUCUGUGGGGAGGGACGAAUAAGCCUGGUAUCAACACCACCGGGCCCUGACGGUACCUCCUUAGCAAGCACCGGCUAACCCUGUGCCAGCAGCCGCGGUAAUACAGGGGGUGCAAACGUUGCUCGGAAUCAUUGGGCGUAAAGCGCACGUAGGCGGUUUGUUAUGUCGGAUGUGAAAGCCCUUGGCUCAACUGAGGAAGUGCAUCCGAAACUGGCAAGCUAGAGUACUAAAGAGGGUCGCGGAAUUCCCGGUGUAGAGGUGAAAUUCGUAGAUAUCGGGAGGAACACCGGUGGCGAAGGCGGCGACCUGGGUAGAUACUGACGCUGAGGUGCGAAAGCGUGGGGAGCAAACAGGAUUAGAUGCCCUGGUAGUCCACGCCGUAAACGAUGAGUGCUAGAUGUUUCUGGUAUUGACCCCGGAGGCGUCGUAGCUAACGCG
RNAcentral lists this ribosomal RNA (809 nucleotides) under uncultured delta proteobacterium. RNAcentral's name for it is "bacterial SSU rRNA". It matches the Rfam family "Bacterial small subunit ribosomal RNA", at positions 76 to 859 of the family's 1533-position model. Lineage: Bacteria; Deltaproteobacteria. The record is from RNAcentral.